This 733-nucleotide ribosomal RNA is filed under the name Salmonella enterica subsp. enterica serovar Dublin. RNAcentral describes it as "partial 23S ribosomal RNA". It matches the Rfam family "Bacterial large subunit ribosomal RNA", at positions 458 to 1190 of the family's 2925-position model. The record is from RNAcentral. Lineage: Bacteria; Pseudomonadati; Pseudomonadota; Gammaproteobacteria; Enterobacterales; Enterobacteriaceae.
CUCCAAGGCUAAAUACUCCUGACUGACCGAUAGUGAACCAGUACCGUGAGGGAAAGGCGAAAAGAACCCCGGCGAGGGGAGUGAAAAAGAACCUGAAACCGUGUACGUACAAGCAGUGGGAGCACAGGUUUACCUGUGUGACUGCGUACCUUUUGUAUAAUGGGUCAGCGACUUAUAUUCUGUAGCAAGGUUAACCGAAUAGGGGAGCCGGAGGGAAACCGAGUCUUAAUUGGGCGUUAAGUUGCAGGGUAUAGACCCGAAACCCGGUGAUCUAGCCAUGGGCAGGUUGAAGGUUGGGUAACACUAACUGGAGGACCGAACCGACUAAUGUUGAAAAAUUAGCGGAUGACCUGUGGCUGGGGGUGAAAGGCCAAUCAAACCGGGAGAUAGCUGGUUCUCCCCGAAAGCUAUUUAGGUAGCGCCUCGUGAAUUCAUCUCCGGGGGUAGAGCACUGUUUCGGCUAGGGGGCCAUCCCGGCUUACCAACCCGAUGCAAACUGCGAAUACCGGAGAAUGUUAUCACGGGAGACACACGGCGGGUGCUAACGUCCGUCGUGAAGAGGGAAACAACCCAGACCGCCAGCUAAGGUCCCAAAGUCAUGGUUAAGUGGGAAACGAUGUGGGAAGGCCCAGACAGCCAGGAUGUUGGCUUAGAAGCAGCCAUCAUUUAAAGAAAGCGUAAUAGCUCACUGGUCGAGUCGGCCUGCGCGGAAGAUGUAACGGGGCUAAACCAU